Molecule: long non-coding RNA, 306 nt
Filed under: Anser cygnoides (Swan goose)
Lineage: Eukaryota; Metazoa; Chordata; Aves; Anseriformes; Anatidae
Description: lncRNA (ENSACDG00005009593.1)
Source: RNAcentral
AUGCCAAGAAACCACAUCGCAGACCAAAAGCUGUUACAGCCCAGUCCUGGACUGUCAGUCCCUGCCUCAACUGUGUGCCUGGCAUGGUGGUCUCCAGCCCUGUCUAUAACCCUGCUUCCUGGAAGGACCUUGGCUCUACUCAGCAGUAACCAUCAGAGUAACUGUCUGCUGUUUGAACCUCAGUUAAAUAUUAUUGGAAAAAAAAUGGAACUACAUUCUGGUGGAGUGAAGAAAAUUAAUAAAGUUAAGGACAGAAAAUAUAAUGAAAAACUCUCACAAGUCUUUGAGGCUGCACCCAACACCUGA